GGGGGAUUAGCUCAGUUGGGAGAGCGCUUGAAUGGCAUUCAAGAGGUCAGGGGUUCGAAUCCCCUAUCCUCCAUCA
Molecule: transfer RNA, 76 nt
Filed under: Thermogutta terrifontis
Lineage: Bacteria; Pseudomonadati; Planctomycetota; Planctomycetia; Pirellulales; Thermoguttaceae
Description: tRNA-Ala
Rfam family: tRNA
About the family: Transfer RNA (tRNA) molecules are approximately 80 nucleotides in length. Their secondary structure includes four short double-helical elements and three loops (D, anti-codon, and T loops).
Source: RNAcentral